RNAcentral lists this ribosomal RNA (481 nucleotides) under Plasmodium chabaudi adami. Its description in RNAcentral is "SSU rRNA". It matches the Rfam family "Eukaryotic small subunit ribosomal RNA", at positions 1401 to 1831 of the family's 1831-position model. The record is from RNAcentral. Lineage: Eukaryota; Apicomplexa; Aconoidasida; Haemosporida; Plasmodiidae.
UUAAUGCUUCUUAGAGGAACGAUGUGUGCCUAACGCAAGGAAGUUUAAGGCAACAACAGGUCUGUGAUGUCCUUAGAUAUACUAGGCUGCACGCGUGCUACACUGAUAUGUAAAACGAGUACUUAAAACUAUAUCUCUAUGGUAGUUAAUCAAAUUCUACGUAUGUUAGGGUAUAUUUUUCCUACACUGAAAUAGUGAAGGUAAUCUUUAUCAAUACAUAUCGUGAUGGGGAUAGAUUAUUGCAAUUAUUAAUCUUGAACGAGGAAUGCCUAGUAAGCAUGAUUCAUCAGAUUGUGCUGACUACGUCCCUGCCCUUUGUACACACCGCCCGUCGCUCCUACCGAUUGAAAGAUAUGAUGAAUUGUUCGGACAAUUAAAUAAGUACAAUUUUAUUUUUUUGGAAGGGCCGUAAAUCCUAUCUUUUAAAGGAAGGAGAAGUCGUAACAAGGUUUCCGUAGGUGAACCUGCGGAAGGAUCAUUU